AAGAAAGCAAUGACAGGAAAUAGUAACAAGUAUUUCUUUCUACAGAGAGCCGAUGGCUGGUGGAAAUCGGUGUGAGAGUUUUGUGAAUCCCUCCUGGAGCAGAGUAUGGAAAGCCUUUUGGGUCAGUAAAUACUUUCGGUUAAAAGCCGUUAUCGUGAUAAGUGGUAGGCGUUUUUCAUAGGCCUUCAACUAGGGUGGCAACGCGGGUUAACUCUCGUCCCUUCU
Molecule: non-coding RNA, 225 nt
Organism: Bacillus sp. FJAT-22058
Lineage: Bacteria; Bacillati; Bacillota; Bacilli; Caryophanales; Bacillaceae
Source: Rfam